RNAcentral lists this ribosomal RNA (372 nucleotides) under uncultured organism. Its description in RNAcentral is "partial 16S ribosomal RNA". It matches the Rfam family "Bacterial small subunit ribosomal RNA", at positions 527 to 896 of the family's 1533-position model. The record is from RNAcentral.
GUAGGUGGCAAGCGUUGUCCGGAAUUAUUGGGCGUAAAGCGCGCGCAGGCGGUUCUUUAAGUCUGAUGUGAAAGCCCACGGCUCAACCGUGGAGGGUCAUUGGAAACUGGAGAACUUGAGUACAGAAGAGGAAAGCGGAAUUCCACGUGUAGCGGUGAAAUGCGUAGAGAUGUGGAGGAACACCAGCGGCGAAGGCGGCUUUCUGGUCUGUAACUGACGCUGAGGCGCGAAAGCGUGGGGAGCAAACAGGAUUAGAUACCCUGGUAGUCCACGCCGUAAACGAUGAGUGCUAAUGUUAGGGGGGUUUCCGCCCCCCUUAGUGCUGCAGCUAACGCAUUAAGCACUCCGCCUGGGAGUACGGCCGCAAGGCUG